AAGUACUAUCUGGCAGACACACGGCGGAUGCUAACGUCCGUCGUGGAGAGGGAAACAACCCUAACCUCCAGCUAAGGCCCCUAAUUCAUGGCUAAGUGGGAAAGCAUGUGAGACGACCAAAACAACCAGGAUGUUGGCUUAGAAGCAGCCAUCAUUUAAAGAAAGCGUAACAGCUCACUGGUCUAGAUAAGUUGUCUUGCGGCGAAGAUGUAACGGGGCUCAAGCCAUGAGCCGAAGCUGAGGACAUCGUAAGAUGUGGUAGCGGAGCGUAGUGUGACAUAGAUUCUAUCCUCUUUAGUCGUCUUUGACGGCCUUGGAGGAUCAAGAAUCUUUCUGUGAAGCCGGGCUGUAAGGCAUCCGGUGGAGAGAUCACUAGUGAGAAUGAUGACAUGAGUAGCGACAAAGAGUGUGAGAGACACUCUCGCCGAAAGUCCAAGGGUUCCUGCUUAAAGCUAAUCUGAGCAGGGUAAGCCGACCCCUAAGUCGAGGCCGAAGGGCGUAGACGAUGGGAACCAGGUUAAUAUUCCUGGGCCAGGAGAUGGUGACGGAUUGUGAAGGUUGUUCCUCCUUAUUGGAUUGGAGGGGCCGCUGAUCAGUCCCUGGAAAUAGCCCUCCAUAAGAUCGUACCCUAAACCGACACAGGUGGACUGGUAGAGAAUACCAAGGCGCUUGAGAGAACUACAUUGAAGGAACUCGGCAAAAUACCUCCGUAAGUUCGCGAGAAGGAGGCCCAGUUUCUACGCAAGUAUUGGCUGGGGGCACAAACCAGGGGGUGGCGACUGUUUACUAAAAACACAGGGCUCUGCGAAGUCGCAAGACGACGUAUAGGGUCUGACGCCUGCCCGGUGCCGGAAGGUUAAGAGGAGGUGUGAGAGCUCCGAAUUGAAGCCCCGGUAAACGGCGGCCGUAACUAUAACGGUCCUAAGGUAGCGAAAUUCCUUGUCGGGUAAGUUCCGACCUGCACGAAUGGCGUAACGACUUCCCCGCUGUCUCCAACAUCGACUCAGCGAAAUUGAAUUCCCCGUGAAGAUGCGGGGUACCCGCGGUCAGACGGAAAGACCCCGUGCACCUUUACUA
RNAcentral lists this ribosomal RNA (1077 nucleotides) under marine metagenome. Its description in RNAcentral is "bacterial LSU rRNA". It matches the Rfam family "Bacterial large subunit ribosomal RNA", at positions 968 to 2106 of the family's 2925-position model. The record is from RNAcentral.